This 548-nucleotide ribosomal RNA is filed under the name uncultured bacterium. RNAcentral's name for it is "bacterial SSU rRNA". It matches the Rfam family "Bacterial small subunit ribosomal RNA", at positions 355 to 896 of the family's 1533-position model. The record is from RNAcentral.
CUAAGAAUCUUCCGCAAUGGGCGAAAGCCUGACGGAGCGACGCCGCGUGGACGAAGAAGGCCGGAAGGUUGUAAAGUCCUUUUCUCGAUGAAGAAUAAGGCAGCGAGGGAAUGCGCUGUCGAUGACAUUAGUUGAGGAAUAAGCCCCGGCUAAUUACGUGCCAGCAGCCGCGGUAACACGUAAGGGGCGAGCGUUGUUCGGAAUUAUUGGGCGUAAAGGGCGCGUAGGCGGCUAGGCAAGCCUGGUGUGAAAGGCCACAGCUUAACUGUGGGAGUGCGCUGGGAACUGCCUAGCUAGAGUUUCGGAGGGGAAGCUGGAAUUCCUGGUGUAGGGGUGAAAUCUGUAGAUAUCAGGAAGAACAUCUGUGGCGAAGGCGAACUUCUGGCCAGAAACCGACGCUGAGGCGCGAAAGCGUGGGGAGCGAACAGGAUUAAAUACCCUGGUAGUCCACGCUGUAAACGAUGUGCACUAGGUGUUGGCUGUGAUAACGGUCAGUGCCGAAGCAAACGCGAUAAGUGCACCGCCUGGGGAGUAUGCUCGCAAGGGUG